GACGAACGCUGGCGGCGUGCCUAAUACAUGCAAGUAGAACGCUGAAGAGAGGAGCUUGCUCUUCUUGGAUGAGUUGCGAACGGGUGAGUAACGCGUAGGUAACCUGCCUUGUAGCGGGGGAUAACUAUUGGAAACGAUAGCUAAUACCGCAUAACAAUGGAUGACCCAUGUCAUUUAUUUGAAAGGGGCAAAUGCUCCACUACAAGAUGGACCUGCGUUGUAUUAGCUAGUAGGUGAGGUAACGGCUCACCUAGGCGACGAUACAUAGCCGACCUGAGAGGGUGAUCGGCCACACUGGGACUGAGACACGGCCCAGACUCCUACGGGAGGCAGCAGUAGGGAAUCUUCGGCAAUGGGGGCAACCCUGACCGAGCAACGCCGCGUGAGUGAAGAAGGUUUUCGGAUCGUAAAGCUCUGUUGUAAGUCAAGAACGAGUGUGAGAGUGGAAAGUUCACACUGUGACGGUAGCUUACCAGAAAGGGAAGGGAAUU
RNAcentral lists this ribosomal RNA (491 nucleotides) under Streptococcus salivarius. RNAcentral describes it as "bacterial SSU rRNA". It matches the Rfam family "Bacterial small subunit ribosomal RNA", at positions 28 to 501 of the family's 1533-position model. The record is from RNAcentral. Lineage: Bacteria; Bacillati; Bacillota; Bacilli; Lactobacillales; Streptococcaceae.